RNAcentral lists this ribosomal RNA (476 nucleotides) under uncultured bacterium. RNAcentral describes it as "bacterial SSU rRNA". It matches the Rfam family "Bacterial small subunit ribosomal RNA", at positions 30 to 500 of the family's 1533-position model. The record is from RNAcentral.
AUUGAACGCUGGCGGCAUGCCUUACACAUGCAAGUCGAACGGCAGCGGACCUUCGGGUGCCGGCGAGUGGCGAACGGGUGAGUAAUAUAUCGGAACGUACCUUUCAGUGGGGGAUAACGUAGCGAAAGUUACGCUAAUACCGCAUAUUCUGUGAGCAGGAAAGCAGGGGAUCGCAAGACCUUGCGCUGAUUGAGCGGCCGAUAUCAGAUUAGCUAGUUGGUGAGGUAAAGGCUCACCAAGGCGACGAUCUCUAGCUGGUCUGAGAGGACGAUCAGCCACACUGGGACUGAGACACGGCCCAGACUCCUACGGGAGGCAGCAGUGGGGAAUAUUGGACAAUGGGCGAAAGCCUGAUCCAGCAAUGCCGCGUGUGUGAAGAAGGACCUGAGGGUUGUAAAGCACUCUCAAUCGUGAAGAAAAGUUGCAGGCUAAUACCCUGUGACCUUGACGUUAACGAUACAAGAAGCACCGGCUAA